AAGUCGUAACAAGGUAACCGUAGGUGAACCUGCGGUUGGAUCAUUAAACAUUUUUUUUUGGCUCCCUUUUAGCCGUCAAAAGUUGAAGGGGAUUGACAAAAUUAAACCCACCUGUGAACCAUUGAAAUGAACUUGGCCGAUAUAUAGUGCACCUUGGCUUUACUCGUAAUGCCAGUGGCUGAGGUGACUGCCGUGGUCUUUCUCAUGAGAAGUGGUAACUAGAAGAGCCUUUCUACUUUUGUAGUAAGUUGAUCUCGAAGCUGCUUUUCAGGUUAAAAAAGACCUGGCUAUUAUAGCGGUUGAACGGCUUUACAGUAUACUUUUACUAUUAAAAUUAAACCCAAACUCUUAAUUUUUUUUCCCUUGUAAUGAGGGAGAAACCAAAUAGAAACAACUUUAGACAAUGGAUCUCUUGGCUCUC
Molecule: unclassified non-coding RNA, 421 nt
Filed under: fungal sp.
Lineage: Eukaryota; Fungi
Description: partial internal transcribed spacer region
Rfam family: Eukaryotic small subunit ribosomal RNA (bases 1-46)
Source: RNAcentral